UCAGACAGUGUAAAGGACCUUUAAACGAGUGAUUCUGAAUAGAUGAAGAGAAGACAGCUUGUGCCUCAAGUCCUGAUGAGAUUUUUGGGUCCUCCUGGACCCUGUCAGAAUUCCCUUGACGGAGUGCAAUUGCAUGGUGACGUUUCUCUAUGGGAUCAGCGUUUUCUGACUGGAAAGAAGAAAUCUCAAUCCUUUCUACUCAAAAUAAAUGAACUGAUCGGACAGACAACCUCUGGCAGCAAGACUUUCAUGUUUGGUUCAGUGUGGGUCUAAGAGAUAUACGGUAACUGGUUGCCCUAAUGGAAGAAGAUCUCCUAAUAUUCCAGCAUGGAAAAGAGGUAAUUUUUUUUUAAACAAUUGCGUGUUUAAAAAUACAUGUUUCAGUCCUCUGCAGCAGCCUCGUGCUAACAGCGCAGAGUUUUUCUAGGGCCGUAAUUG
RNAcentral lists this long non-coding RNA (438 nucleotides) under Struthio camelus australis. RNAcentral describes it as "lncRNA (ENSSCUG00000009493.1)". Lineage: Eukaryota; Metazoa; Chordata; Aves; Struthioniformes; Struthionidae. The record is from RNAcentral.